UACAGAGGUCCCAAGCGUUGUUCGGAUUUACUGGGCGUAAAGGGUGCGUAGGUGGUCGGGUAAGUCUCAUGUGAAAUCCCGCAGCUUAACUGCGGAACGGCAUGGGAUACUAUCCGGCUAGAGGAUUGGAGGGGGGACUGGAAUUCCCGGUGUAGCAGUGAAAUGCGUAGAUAUCGGGAGGAACACCAGUGGCGAAGGCGAGUCCCUGGACAAUCCCUGACGCUGAGACGCGAAAGCUAGGGGAGCGAACAGG
RNAcentral lists this ribosomal RNA (253 nucleotides) under uncultured bacterium. RNAcentral's name for it is "partial 16S ribosomal RNA". It matches the Rfam family "Bacterial small subunit ribosomal RNA", at positions 524 to 776 of the family's 1533-position model. The record is from RNAcentral.